Molecule: ribosomal RNA, 317 nt
Filed under: uncultured bacterium
Lineage: Bacteria
Description: bacterial SSU rRNA
Rfam family: Bacterial small subunit ribosomal RNA
Source: RNAcentral
GAUGAACGCUGGCGGCGUGCCUAACACAUGCAAGUCGAACGGGACUAUCAAGUGAUGUUUCGGACUGAACUUUUAGUUAGUGGCGGACGGGUGAGUAACGCGUGGACAACCUGCCUCUCACUGGGGGAUAGCAGCUGGAAACGGCUGGUAAUACCGCAUGCGUUCAAUGUGCCGCAUGACACAUUGAAGAAAGAUUUAUUGCUGAAAGAUGGUCUCGCGUCUGAUUAGCUAGAUGGCGGGUAACGGCCCACCAUGGCGACGAUCAGUAGCCGGUCUGAGAGGAUGAACGGCCACAUUGGGACUGAGAUACGGCCCAG